Molecule: ribosomal RNA, 827 nt
Filed under: uncultured bacterium
Lineage: Bacteria
Description: bacterial SSU rRNA
Rfam family: Bacterial small subunit ribosomal RNA
Source: RNAcentral
ACAUGCAGUCGAACGGUAGCACAGAGAGCUUGCUCUUGGGUGACGAGUGGCGGACGGGUCAUUUAUGUCUGGGAAACUGCCUGAUGGCGGGGGAUAACUACUGCAAACGGUAGCUAAUACCGCAUAAUGUCGAAAGAACCCAAAGAGGGGGACCUUCGGGCCUCUUGCCAUCAGAUGUGCCCAGAUGGGAUUAGCUAGUAGGUGGGGUAAUGGCUCACCUAGGCGACGAUCCCUAGCUGGUCUGAGAGGAUGACCAGCCACACUGGAACUGAGACACGGUCCAGACUCCUACGGGAGGCAGCAGUGGGGAAUAUUGCACAAUGGGCGCAAGCCUGAUGCAGCCAUGCCGCGUGUAUGAAGAAGGCCUUCGGGUUGUAAAGUACUUUCAGACCGAGGAGGAAGGCAUCAAGGUUAAUAACCUUGGUGAUUGACGUUACUCGCAGAAGAAGCACCGGCUAACUCCGUGCCAGCAGCCGCGGUAAUACGGAGGGUGCAAGCGUUAAUCGGAAUUACUGGGCGUAAAGCGCACGCAGGCGGUCUGUCAAGUCGGAUGUGAAAUCCCCGGGCUUCACCUGGGAACUGCAUUCGAAACUGACAAGCUAGAGUCUUGUAGAGGGGGGUAGAAUUCCAGGUGUAGCGGUGAAAUGCGUAGAGAUCUGGAAGAAUACCGUGGCGAAAGCGGCCCCCUGGACAAAGACUGACGCUCAUGUGCGGAAGCGUGGGGAGCAAACAAGGAUAGAUACCCUGGUAAUCUACGCUGUAACGAUGUCCACUUGGAGGGUGUUCCCUUGAGGAAUGGGUUCCCGAGCUAACGCGUUAAGUCGAAC